Molecule: unclassified non-coding RNA, 603 nt
Filed under: Hevea brasiliensis (rubber tree)
Lineage: Eukaryota; Viridiplantae; Streptophyta; Magnoliopsida; Malpighiales; Euphorbiaceae
Source: RNAcentral
GCACCCUGGACACUUUUGCACUAAGAACAUUUGUCUUGUCAGAGAAGAGUUUGACAAGUAUUUCAGUGUUCACAGUCUUCGCCAGAUUACCCACGUAAACCUUGUGUGGGCUGUCGACAAAUUUAGAUUCCUCAGCUUGGAGGACAGAGAACUCAACUGACAAUGGUUUUUCUGUCACGUUAACUUUGAUCUUUCGACCUCCAAUUUCCGUGUCAUUCAGCUUCUCAAUAGCAACAGUGGCAUCUUCUACUGUGCUCAUUGUGACAAAAGCAAACCGUCGGCUCCUGCCGGAGUAUUUGUCAUACAUAACCUCUGCCUUCUCGACGGAGCCAUGCUCGGCGAAGAUGCCGGCGAGCUCUUCAUUCUUAACAUUCCUCGGGAUGUUACCCACGUAGAGCCUCCGGGCGACGUCGGCAUCCUGGGCCCUCGGAGGAGCCUCCGCGGCUACGGCUGAGAUCGUGAGAGAGCUCCUCCUUAUGUUUGGGAAUGAGAUGCGGGAGCACCGGUAAGACAGCGGCUUGGAUACUGGAUUGGGUGUGUGGAGGAGAUUUGGGGAGGAAAACGAGGAGAUCGACGCCAUGGAGGCGGAGGCGGAGGCGGAGG